Molecule: long non-coding RNA, 2399 nt
Filed under: Homo sapiens (human)
Lineage: Eukaryota; Metazoa; Chordata; Mammalia; Primates; Hominidae
Description: non-protein coding lnc-TFEC-2:13
Source: RNAcentral
AGUGGGCGGCGACGCCGGCAGCUGGGACGAGGAGGGCCUCCUGGUCACCCUUCUGGGGGCCCGUACUGUCAUGCCUCAGAGCUGGCAAGUCGUCCCAGGGAAGACAACGGCCUUCCUGGAGGGAGGGAACCUUGUGGUUAGGCGCAUGGGGUGCGAAGCAGGGCCUCUACUUGGCCGACGCAGCUAGAAGACUAAGGUCAGGGGCAUUCUGGAUGCAGCCCACAAAGCUAGCUCUCUGUGGCACUGAGCAAGUGGGAGGACUCAGAUGGCACCCCUGUCUCUAAGGAUUGGCUGGGGAUCUUCACAUUUCAUCCAUCAUUUCAUCACAGAUCAUCUCAGCCUCUCCUGAACUGUGACCAACUGGCUUACUCAAGGGACUGGAUCUGCUGUCCCGACAUGAUGGCAAGCUGCAGCACAUCAUGCAGAUUAAAGUUCAGCCUGCCUCAGACUCAGGAUAAAAACACAUUUGGGACAGUCUCGCUCAGCCUCAUUGCAGAGACAAGAAAUGUAUGAAAAGAAAGUACAGAGAAAAAAAAAGAAUGGAAUACACAUGAAUGCCGAACCACAUUGGAUAUGUAGCUGUUCAUGAAGAUAUUCCAGGGAAGGCCUAUCUAGUAGAGCCUCAAAUCUAUUUGAAUACAAAUGGCACUCAUUAAGGACAUCUGUCUUCUGUAAUGUCUACACAAAGUCUUACCGGGGUCUUCUUGGCUCUUAUUGACGGCUGAUGAAGGAGGGGUUUAUAAAGAAAACAAGCCAAAACCUGAAUAACUUGCUACUGAGAGCAGCACACAUAUUUUCCCAAAGUGCAAAGUUGAGAAGAAGUACAAAGCUUUGUUAAUAUUCUGAACAGUACUGCUUAGUAUGAUCUAAUUGAUGGAUUUUCCAUGGACUCCCUAGAGACUGAAAAAGGUUUGACUGUCAGGAAACUUUUCUUGUGUUUAUUCUUCAAUUUUCCUUUUCCUACUUUCCAAUCAUCAUUCCCUAUUAACAUCCCUUGAUGGGUCACCUUAAGUGAUUAUUCUUUUUAAUGGCAUUUAUAACGUUUAAUAUUUCCCUGUUAAUUUCUAUUCCGACAAAGUACAUAUUUUUUUAAUCUUCACUCAUAACAUUAAUAAAUUUUUCCAACAUUUUAAAGCUCAGUUAACAUUUCCUUAUAUAUGCCUCUGUCUUUAAAAUAUGAGAUCUGAAUGUACUGGUAUCACUAGAAUUAUCUACAGAGUUCUAAUGUGAUGGAAAUUGUGCUACAAAAAUUUGUUCUUACAUAAUUUGCUUCAACGGAAUUCCUCCUGAACUAAAUACUUAGUCUUUACAUUCUUUAAAAUAACUAAAAUUUCCCAGAGGAAAGUCUGAAUUGUUCAUUUAACCUUGUGUGAUGUGUGCUGUGUGUAGCUGAAACAGCAAAGUGGACACACCUGCACCCUUAACAUUUUUGACUUUUUUUUUUUUUUUUUUAAAGAAUCAAGUUUCGUUUUUGUCACCCAAGCUGGAGUGCAGUGGUACAAUCUCCGGUCACUGCAACCUCCGCCUCCCGGGUUCAAGCGACUCUCCUGCCUCAGCCUCCCAAGUGGCUGGGAUUACAUGUGUGCACCACAAAGCCUGGGUAUUUUUUUUUUUUCAUUUUUAGUAGAGACGUGGUUUCACUAUGUUGGGCAGGCUGGUCUUGAACUCCUGAACUCAGGUGAUCCUUCCCCGCUAGGCCUCCCAAAGUGCUGGAAUUUCAGGCCUGAGCCACAGCACCUGGCCAACUGUGACUCAUUUUUAAAGCGGUUUGGCAAUAAUGCUAUAUACGUAUAAUGGUUUUGAAUAAAAUAUACAACUAUACAUGGCCUGUUAUCUUCUUAUUUUAGACAGAAUAAUCUUAGUCUUGUACUUUCAUGUAUUAGGCUGAUAGCCAUGAGAUUUGGGGAGGAAAAAAAUAGGAUAAAAUAGGACUCACUCAUUUCAAGAAAUAGAGUUAGUUUUCUAUGCAAGCAUUUUCUCCCCUUCUCCUUAGCCCACCAAAGUGGUAAAUGAGACUUCCAGCCAUGAGGCUGUUUGCACCUCUGUCUGGGAGGAGACUUCUGGAGCUUUGGUUGCUGCUAAUGACUUGGAGGGGCUUUGAAGGCCCCCUUGAAGAUGUCACGCAUGACCUCUGGACCCUUGGUAUCUUUCAAGAAUCCUUAUGAGAUACUAACUCAUUUCGUUUAUAAUAGGUGAAAACAGAUCAUGUAUUUUUAAACCAGAUAAUGCCUAAGUUAUAUUACUCUAGAAUUCAUAGAAAAAAUAAAAUAGCCGAGAUCUUUAAAAAGACUGUAAUGUGGUAUUAGUGGACUGUCUUUUUUUUUGUUUAUGGAGAGAAAAAAAUUAUUUGUAAGUUUUUUUUUAAUUUAUUAUUGUUAUACUUUAAGUUUUAGGGUACA